GAAUGAAGAACGUAGCGAAAUGCGAUAAGUAAUGUGAAUUGCAGAAUUCAGUGAAUCAUCGAAUCUUUGAACGCACAUUGCGCCCGCCAGUAUUCUGGCGGGCAUGCCUGUUCGAGCGUCAUUUCAACCAUCAAGCCCCAGGCUUGUGUUGGAGCCCUGCGGCUGCCGCAGCCUCCCAAAACCAGUGGCGGGCUCGCUAUCACACCGAGUGCAGUAGUUUACUCUUCGCUCAGGGCGUGUGGCGGGUGCUAGCCGUAAAACCCCCAACUUCUCAAGGUUGACCUCGGAUCAGGUAGGAAUACCCGCUGAACUUAAGCAUAUCAAUAAGCGGAGGA
RNAcentral lists this unclassified non-coding RNA (335 nucleotides) under soil metagenome. RNAcentral's name for it is "partial contains 5.8S ribosomal RNA, internal transcribed spacer 2, and large subunit ribosomal RNA". The stretch from base 3 to 121 matches the Rfam family "5.8S ribosomal RNA", at positions 36 to 154 of the family's 154-position model. The record is from RNAcentral.